Molecule: ribosomal RNA, 1370 nt
Filed under: uncultured bacterium
Lineage: Bacteria
Description: bacterial SSU rRNA
Rfam family: Bacterial small subunit ribosomal RNA
Source: RNAcentral
GAUGAACGCUGGCGGCGUGCCUAAUACAUGCAAGUCGAGCGAACAGAUAAGGAGCUUGCUCCUUUGAAGUUAGCGGCGGACGGGUGAGUAACACGUGGGUAACCUACCUAUAAGACUGGGAUAACUUCGGGAAACCGGAGCUAAUACCGGAUAACAUUUAGAACCGCAUGGUUCUAAAGUGAAAGAUGGUUUUGCUAUCACUUAUAGAUGGACCCGCGCCGUAUUAGCUAGUUGGUAAGGUAACGGCUUACCAAGGCGACGAUACGUAGCCGACCUGAGAGGGUGAUCGGCCACACUGGAACUGAGACACGGUCCAGACUCCUACGGGAGGCAGCAGUAGGGAAUCUUCCGCAAUGGGGGAAAGCCUGGCGGAGCAACGCCGCGCGAGUGAUGAAGGGUUUCGGCUCGUAAAACUCUGUUAUUAGGGAAGAACAAAUGUGUAAGUAACUGUGCACAUCUUGACGGUACCUAAUCCAGAAAGCCACGGCUAACUACGUGCCAGCAGCCGCGGUAAUACGUAGGUGGCAAGCGUUAUCCGGAAUUAUUGGGCGUAGCGCGCGUAGGCGGUUUCUUAGUCUGAUGUGAAAGCCCACGGCUCAACCGUGGAGGAUCAUUGGAAACUGGGAAACUUGGGUGCAGAAGAGGAAAGUGGAAUUCCAUGUGUAGCGGUGAAAUGCGCAGAGAUAUGGAGGAACACCAGUGGCGAAGGCGACUUUCUGGUCUGUAACUGACGCUGAUGUGCGAAAGCGUGGGGAUCAAACAGGAUUAGAUACCCUGGUAGUCCACGCCGUAAACGAUGAGUGCUAAGUGUUAGGGGGUUUCCGCCCCUUAGUGCUGCAGCUAACGCAUUAAGCACUCCGCCUGGGGAGUACGACCGCAAGGUUGAAACUCAAAGGAAUUGACGGGGACCCGCACAAGCGGUGGAGCAUGUGGUUUAAUUCGAAGCAACGCGAAGAACCUUACCAAAUCUUGACAUCCUUUGAAAACUCUAGAGAUAGAGCCUUCCCCUUCGGGGGACAAAGUGACAGGUGGUGCAUGGUUGUCGUCAGCUCGUGUCGUGAGAUGUUGGGUUAAGUCCCGCAACGAGCGCAACCCUUAAGCUUAGUUGCCAUCAUUAAGUUGGGCACUCUAGGUUGACUGCCGGUGACAAACCGGAGGAAGGUGGGGAUGACGUCAAAUCAUCAUGCCCCUUAUGAUUUGGGCUACACACGUGCUACAAUGGACAAUACAAAGGGCAGCUAAACCGCGAGGUCAUGCAAAUCCCAUAAAGUUGUUCUCAGUUCGGAUUGUAGUCUGCAACUCGACUACAUGAAGCUGGAAUCGCUAGUAAUCGUAGAUCAGCAUGCUACGGUGAAUACGUUCCCGGGUCU